GAUGAACGCUAGCUACCCCCUUUAACACAUGCAAGUCGAGGGGCAGCAUGUCGGUUGCUUCCAUCCGAUGAUGGCGACCGGCGCACGGGUGAGUAACGCGUAUCCAACCUACCCUUGUCCAUCGGAUAACCCGUCGAAAGGCGGCCUAACACGAUAUGCGGUUCACCGCAGGCAUCUAAGGUGAACGAAAUGUGAAGGAGAAGGAUGGGGAUGCGUCUGAUUAGCUUGUUGGCGGGGUAACGGCCCACCAAGGCUACGAUCAGUAGGGGUUCUGAGAGGAAGGUCCCCCACAUUGGAACUGAGACACGGUCCAAACUCCUACGGGAGGCAGCAGUGAGGAAUAUUGGUCAAUGGACGGGAGUCUGAACCAGCCAAGUAGCGUGCAGGACGACGGCCCUAUGGGUUGUAAACUGCUUUUAUAGGGGGAUAAAGUGUGCCACGUGUGGCAUAUUGCAGGUACCCUAUGAAUAAGGACCGGCUAAUUCCGUGCCAGCAGCCGCGGUAAUACGGAAGGUCCGGGCGUUAUCCGGAUUUAUUGGGUUUAAAGGGAGCGUAGGCCGUCUUAUAAGCGUGUUGUGAAAUGUCGGGGCUCAACCUGGGCAUUGCAGCGCGAACUGUGAGACUUGAGUGCGCAGGAAGUAGGCGGAAUUCGUCGUGUAGCGGUGAAAUGCUUAGAUAUGACGAAGAACUCCGAUUGCGAAGGCAGCCUGCUGUAGCGCAACUGACGCUGAAGCUCGAAAGCGUGGGUAUCGAACAGG
RNAcentral lists this ribosomal RNA (758 nucleotides) under uncultured bacterium. RNAcentral's name for it is "bacterial SSU rRNA". It matches the Rfam family "Bacterial small subunit ribosomal RNA", at positions 28 to 776 of the family's 1533-position model. The record is from RNAcentral.